AUUGAACGCUGGCGGCAUGCCUUACACAUGCAAGUCGAACGGUAACAGGUCUUCGGAUGCUGACGAGUGGCGAACGGGUGAGUAAUACAUCGGAACGUGCCCGAUCGUGGGGGAUAACGCAGCGAAAGCUGUGCUAAUACCGCAUACGAUCUACGGAUGAAAGCGGGGGAUCGCAAGGCCUCGCGCGGACGGAGCGGCCGAUGGCAGAUUAGGUAGUUGGUGGGAUAAAAGCUUACCAAGCCGACGAUCUGUAGCUGGUCUGAGAGGACGACCAGCCACACUGGAACUGAGACACGGUCCAGACUCCUACGGGAGGCAGCAGUGAGGAAUAUUGCGCAAUGGGGGAAACCCUGACGCAGCGACGCCGUGUGAGCGAUGAAGGCCUUCGGGUCGUAAAGCUCUGUCAGAGGGAAGAAAGGGUACGGCGGAAUAAUACCCGCCGACAUUGACGGUACCCUCGGAGGAAGCACCGGCUAACUCCGUGCCAGCACG
RNAcentral lists this ribosomal RNA (492 nucleotides) under uncultured bacterium. RNAcentral describes it as "bacterial SSU rRNA". It matches the Rfam family "Bacterial small subunit ribosomal RNA", at positions 29 to 515 of the family's 1533-position model. The record is from RNAcentral.